CGCCGCAUAACCGAGAGGUUCCGUGGAGGUUUCCCAUUUGCAGUUUGUUUCAGAUUAUCUAAAUUCUCCGAGUUCGGAUUUUCCAUAGAUGNNNCAUUGUCCUUACUAUAACCACCUUCUAAUACAGUAAACGGAGGUGAAAGAUCCAUACCAGCGGCCAUAUCCCCUUCCCAGUCAUAUAUCAAGUGUUUUCUGCGAAUACAGUUAAAGCAAACAACUUUAACUUUACCCUUAAAUCCUCUGGAACCCUAAAGAGAGACGUCUGAGAGGAGGGGCGAGAGAUAGAGAGAAUCAAAAGCAGUUCAAAAAGAGAGGAGAAAAUCUGCAUCGCAGAGAGAGAACUAAAUUGUUGGCUUUGGGUUGG
This 364-nucleotide unclassified non-coding RNA is filed under the name Hevea brasiliensis (rubber tree). The record is from RNAcentral. Lineage: Eukaryota; Viridiplantae; Streptophyta; Magnoliopsida; Malpighiales; Euphorbiaceae.